UACGUAGGGUGCAAGCGUUGUCCGGAAUUAUUGGGCGUAAAGAGCUCGUAGGCGGUCUGUCGCGUCGGCUGUGAAAUCCCGAGGCUCAACCUCGGGUCUGCAGUCGAUACGGGCAGGCUAGAGUUCGGUAGGGGAGACUGGAAUUCCUGGUGUAGCGGUGAAAUGCGCAGAUAUCAGGAGGAACACCGGUGGCGAAGGCGGGUCUCUGGGCCGUAACUGACGCUGAGGAGCGAAAGCGUGGGGAGCGAACAGG
This 253-nucleotide ribosomal RNA is filed under the name uncultured bacterium. RNAcentral describes it as "partial 16S ribosomal RNA". It matches the Rfam family "Bacterial small subunit ribosomal RNA", at positions 524 to 776 of the family's 1533-position model. The record is from RNAcentral.